RNAcentral lists this transfer RNA (75 nucleotides) under Thermopolyspora flexuosa. It matches the Rfam family "tRNA". From Rfam's summary of the family: Transfer RNA (tRNA) molecules are approximately 80 nucleotides in length. Their secondary structure includes four short double-helical elements and three loops (D, anti-codon, and T loops). Further hydrogen bonds mediate the characteristic L-shaped molecular structure. tRNAs have two regions of fundamental functional importance: the anti-codon, which is responsible for specific mRNA codon recognition, and the 3' end, to which the tRNAs corresponding amino acid is attached (by aminoacyl-tRNA synthetases). tRNAs cope with the degeneracy of the genetic code in two manners: having more than one tRNA (with a specific anti-codon) for a particular amino acid; and 'wobble' base-pairing, i.e. permitting non-standard base-pairing at the 3rd anti-codon position. The record is from Rfam by way of RNAcentral. Lineage: Bacteria; Bacillati; Actinomycetota; Actinomycetes; Streptosporangiales; Streptosporangiaceae.
CCGAGUGUGGGGCAGCCAGGCCGGCCCGUCUGCCUUGGGAGCAGAAGGACGCAGGUUCGAAUCCUGCCACUCGGA